GAGCGAACGGGGAGGAGCCCAGAGCCUGAAUCAGCAUGUGUGUUAGUGGAAGCGUCUGGAAAGGCGCGCGAUACAGGGUGACAGCCCCGUACACAAAAGCGCAUGUGCUGUGAGCUCGAUGAGUAGGGCGGGACACGUGGUAUCCUGUCUGAAUAUGGGGGGACCAUCCUCCAAGGCUAAAUACUCCUGACUGACCGAUAGUGAACCAGUACCGUGAGGGAAAGGCGAAAAGAACCCCGGCGAGGGGAGUGAAAAAGAACCUGAAACCGUGUACGUACAAGCAGUGGGAGCCCCACCACUAAGCCAGUGGUGAACUCCACAUCCGCAUCCUUUGCUGAGGAUACGGUUAACGGAGCGAAAGCGACGUUCAACCGCAAAACAAGCAGAGGGGGCUUAGUGGUGGGGUGACUGCGUACCUUUUGUAUAAUGGGUCAGCGACUUAUAUUCUGUAGCAAGGUUAACCGAAUAGGGGAGCCGGAGGGAAACCGAGUCUUAAUUGGGCGUUAAGUUGCAGGGUAUAGACCCGAAACCCGGUGAUCUAGCCAUGGGCAGGUUGAAGGUUGGGUAACACUAACUGGAGGACCGAACCGACUAAUGUUGAAAAAUUAGCGGAUGACCUGUGGCUGGGGGUGAAAGGCCAAUCAAACCGGGAGAUAGCUGGUUCUCCCCGAAAGCUAUUUAGGUAGCGCCUCGUGAA
This 697-nucleotide ribosomal RNA is filed under the name Salmonella enterica subsp. enterica serovar Typhimurium. Its description in RNAcentral is "bacterial LSU rRNA". It matches the Rfam family "Bacterial large subunit ribosomal RNA", at positions 251 to 888 of the family's 2925-position model. The record is from RNAcentral. Lineage: Bacteria; Pseudomonadati; Pseudomonadota; Gammaproteobacteria; Enterobacterales; Enterobacteriaceae.